This is a long non-coding RNA of Brassica oleracea var. oleracea, 1825 nucleotides long. RefSeq lists it as uncharacterized. The record is from RefSeq and is a predicted model, not a curated record. Lineage: Eukaryota; Viridiplantae; Streptophyta; Magnoliopsida; Brassicales; Brassicaceae. The transcript has 3 exons.
GGUUUGAUUAUCAACAACGUAGCGACGCAAUGAUCGACUCAGUGUAUACAGGUGUAGCGAGGAAAGGCGGUCGACUCUCGUACCUCGCUUAGCAUUGGGGUCCUGAGUCGUUUUGGAGGUCGCCUCAGGUCGCUACUCGCCAUGGCGAGCGAAGCGGUCGCCUUUUAAAACCAAGCUUGCAACUUAAUUUCUUUUUGUACUGAAUCUGUCUUUUAUAUACAAAACACUGUGAAAGCCAGAGAUUAGAAAAGUAUCAAAACAAACUUUAUCACAAUUGCUUUUAGAUCUCGGAAUUUUUAAUGAUGCAUAGUCUCUCAAAGGUCAAAUGAAAAUUCAGCAAAGAUUAGCUUCUUUCCUCUUAUUGGCUUCAGUCCUCCUCUCUAGCUCCACGAUCUCAGGUUCUUCUAUGUGUGAGUCAGCAGGAACGUGUGGCUUCUUCAAACCAGAUACACUUGUGCUUUCUUCUCUGAUGCGGGCUUGUACGUCAGCAGCUUCGUUGAGCAGUGAAUUAUACUCUUCUUCAAACUCAGAUUCAUCCAUAACAUCAUCCCUACAAAACAAAACAAAGCAAAGCAUCAGAAGCAAAACAGAGUAAAAUUAGUGUGUUUACAAAUGCCUUACAUCUUCUUAAGUUCCUCUUUUGUUGCAACCGGUCUUUGUGCCUCAGUUUUCGCUGAUGUUGUAAGUGCAUGCAGUGGUUUGGAGUGCUCUCUGAUGCCUUCACGUAACUCAGCAGCUUCGUUGAUUAGUGAAGCAUAUUCAUUCUCAAGCUCAGAGUCAUCAUCAGCCACCAUGUGGUUUAUUUCCUGGUUCAUGUCCCCGAGAGCUUCUUUCUGAUCUUCCAGCUGAUCCAUUAGCUUUGGGACAUCAUUCCUACAAAACAAAAGAAACGAUCAGAAGCGAAACAAAGUACAAUUUCAGUUUUCAAAAACCUUACAUCUUCUUGAGUUGCCCUGUCAUAGUCGAUGCAACCAGCUUCUGUACCUAAACUGUCUCUCUGAUGUUGUACGUGACUUUUCUAGUUCGAUUUUACUAUUUUGAAGUGAGAGUACUUCGUCGCUCAACAUGUCGGACUGUUUAGUCAGCUUGCGCUUCAGUUUCAGUGCAUUCAUUGCCUGAGUCUUUGAUGUGAGCGCUACACGUCUCGCUUUUUCUGCAGCAGCUUUUACUUGCGCAUCGAUCUCAUCAAUCUUUUCCAGGUGAUUAUCGAUGGUCUCUUGGAGACUAGUAAUCGUCUUCUGAGGAUCAGCUUGCGGAUGAGGAUAGGCUUUUUCUUCUAUCAGUGGAGGAGGAUGACGCAGAUCAGUGCAUCCGCCUACUUUCAUUUUGCAAGAGGCAUCGACAAAUAUCAAAUAAACACCUAGAAACAGAGUAUAUGAUCAGACCUGUUCAUAAUACUGCUAAGUAUGUCCCACCUCCUAAUCCAUCUGGGUGUGCUCGCACUGAGCCUUGUAACUAUUUUGGAAGAAGAGGAGGAAAAGAACCCGAAGCUCUUGCUGGUAUAUUGUUGGUGGGAUACUCUCGACAUGAAUUUUCAACGUAACAUGGAUCAAAGGUGUCUCAGAUAAUUACUCCAAGCAAGAUUUUAUCAAUGGCCGAGAAGUAUAGAUACACGAAGGAAACGAAACAUACAGAAGAGAUAAGCAUUUGGUAAGCAUUUUAACUAGCAAUCCUAAAAGAUCAAAAUUAGUGGAACUUUGUAAGAAGAUAAAACUGGUAGUUUUUGUUUCUUGAACUCUCGGGAUGUUUGGUGCAUUUCUGUGAUUGGUCUCUGAAUAUCGUAAUCGUUUCUACUGAUUAUGGAUUAGAUGAAAACGUUUCCCAU